GGGCGUCUAGCUCAGUUGGUAGAGCGCGUCAUUAGCAUCUCGCUAGCAUUGACGAGGUCUUUGGUUCGAUUCCUAAGUCGUCCA
This is a transfer RNA of Trichosporon asahii var. asahii CBS 8904, 84 nucleotides long. It matches the Rfam family "tRNA". From Rfam's summary of the family: Transfer RNA (tRNA) molecules are approximately 80 nucleotides in length. Their secondary structure includes four short double-helical elements and three loops (D, anti-codon, and T loops). Further hydrogen bonds mediate the characteristic L-shaped molecular structure. tRNAs have two regions of fundamental functional importance: the anti-codon, which is responsible for specific mRNA codon recognition, and the 3' end, to which the tRNAs corresponding amino acid is attached (by aminoacyl-tRNA synthetases). tRNAs cope with the degeneracy of the genetic code in two manners: having more than one tRNA (with a specific anti-codon) for a particular amino acid; and 'wobble' base-pairing, i.e. permitting non-standard base-pairing at the 3rd anti-codon position. The record is from Rfam. Lineage: Eukaryota; Fungi; Basidiomycota; Tremellomycetes; Trichosporonales; Trichosporonaceae.